UGGCGCAGAUGAAGGGUCUCUCCCUUGGC
This 29-nucleotide small RNA is filed under the name Bombyx mori (domestic silkworm). RNAcentral describes it as "ovarian small RNA-34877". Lineage: Eukaryota; Metazoa; Arthropoda; Insecta; Lepidoptera; Bombycidae. The record is from RNAcentral.